Molecule: non-coding RNA, 654 nt
Organism: Procambarus clarkii (red swamp crayfish)
Lineage: Eukaryota; Metazoa; Arthropoda; Malacostraca; Decapoda; Cambaridae
Source: RefSeq, a predicted model, not a curated record
UAACGAAGCACUGAUGAAUCACAUCUGGGUUUUGAUGACGGAUUUGACGCAGGCGGUAGAGGAGUUGCUGUCUUUUUCUAGUCAAGCACUCGUUGAUGUAGAUUCCCUGUCGUUGAGUGAUGUAACACUCAAUCACCAAUGUUGUGCUUUCACAACCCACUCUACCUUCUUCAAUAUAAAUAAAUAAAUAUAAAUAAAUACAUACCGGUAAAUAAUAACUAAAUAAAACCCAACAUUAGACAUAAGUGUGGGCAAAGAUCAGUAACCAAAGAAAAUGGAAGAAGGAAGGUGGCGGGGAAGCGAGCGAGUGACGUCAUCACAACAAAGGUUCCACUAUUGGACGUGUACACGACCCGUGAGAUAACACUGACGCUCCUCGCCUAUCUUAAAGACGGUCUCCUGUGUCCAAAAUACCCGCCAAAUUGUCCCUCCCACAAUACUCACAAGACAGUUGUGGCAGUGUAAGUGUGUGGUGAGGGCACACCACUGAAGACAUUGAGGAUAUACCACGAGGAAGAGACAAAACUGUUGAAGAAAGGAGUCACUGGCUCCACCUGACCACCUUGGGCCACAUUCACCAAGGUAAUACGGCUUCCAGUCUCUGCUCGGCUACCAAGGACGAUAGCAAACACAACUUCUGCCCAUUAAUGAUGG